UGUGGCAGUGUGAGUAGGGGAAGCAGACACGUCACACGGACACGUGGCAGCGCUGCCACUGUAUUUUACAAAACAAGAAGGGCAUUCCGGUCAUUGAGUAGGGUACAUUCACAUAGUCGGUUGUUGUGCUGUGUCUCCAUUUUUCUUUUUUGGUGCAUGCGAGCGAGGCUUUGCAAAUUUGUUCAAGUAUUAGUAACGAUUGAUCGAGUGAAUAAUAUUGGAAAUGAUGGAUCUGAAUGUGAAUGAGAAAAAGAAAUGUUGCGCUGAUUGCAAAACCACCAAGACACCACUCUGGAGAGGAGGACCAGCUGGACCCAAGACCUUAUGCAACGCUUGUGGAAUUAGGUAUAGGAAGAGAAGGGCUUGUUCGAGGAAGCGAGAGGAGCAGAGGUGGAAGAUGUUGGGGGAAGAGGAACAGGCCGCGGUGUGCUUGAUGGCCUUGUCCUCUGGUUUUGUUUUCGCUUGAUUGCAAAGCAUUCCUUAAUUUAGUAAUCCACGACAAUCCUUUUUGAUGUCGCAUACCUAACCUUGUAAAGGUCAAGCCUCUGUUUAUAACAUGGUGUUCUUCUCUGUUCUCUUGUUUCCCUAA
Long non-coding RNA from Glycine soja, 589 nucleotides. RefSeq lists it as uncharacterized. Lineage: Eukaryota; Viridiplantae; Streptophyta; Magnoliopsida; Fabales; Fabaceae. The record is from RefSeq and is a predicted model, not a curated record. The transcript is spliced from 3 exons.